RNAcentral lists this ribosomal RNA (661 nucleotides) under Meridianimaribacter flavus. Its description in RNAcentral is "bacterial SSU rRNA". It matches the Rfam family "Bacterial small subunit ribosomal RNA", at positions 92 to 751 of the family's 1533-position model. Lineage: Bacteria; Pseudomonadati; Bacteroidota; Flavobacteriia; Flavobacteriales; Flavobacteriaceae. The record is from RNAcentral.
CGAGUGGCGCACGGGUGCGUAACGCGUAUGCAAUCUACCUUUUACAGGGGGAUAGCCCAGAGAAAUUUGGAUUAAUAUCCCAUAGUAUCAAGAGUCGGCAUCGGCAUUUGAUUAAAGAUUUAUCGGUAAAAGAUGAGCAUGCGUCCUAUUAGCUAGAUGGUGUGGUAACGGCACACCAUGGCAACGAUAGGUAGGGGCCCUGAGAGGGGGAUCCCCCACACUGGUACUGAGACACGGACCAGACUCCUACGGGAGGCAGCAGUGAGGAAUAUUGGACAAUGGGCGCAAGCCUGAUCCAGCCAUGCCGCGUGCAGGAAGACUGCCCUAUGGGUUGUAAACUGCUUUUAUACGGGAAGAAACACUCCCUCGUGAGGGAGCUUGACGGUACCGUAAGAAUAAGGAUCGGCUAACUCCGUGCCAGCAGCCGCGGUAAUACGGAGGAUCCAAGCGUUAUCCGGAAUCAUUGGGUUUAAAGGGUCCGUAGGUGGAUAAUUAAGUCAGAGGUGAAAUCCUGCAGCUCAACUGUAGAAUUGCCUUUGAUACUGGUUAUCUUGAGUCAUUAUGAAGUGGUUAGAAUAUGUAGUGUAGCGGUGAAAUGCAUAGAUAUUACAUAGAAUACCAAUUGCGAAGGCAGAUCACUAAUAAUGUACUGACACUGAUG